This 253-nucleotide ribosomal RNA is filed under the name uncultured bacterium. Its description in RNAcentral is "partial 16S ribosomal RNA". It matches the Rfam family "Bacterial small subunit ribosomal RNA", at positions 524 to 776 of the family's 1533-position model. The record is from RNAcentral.
UACGUAGGUGGCGAGCGUUGUCCGGAUUUACUGGGCGGAAAGAGCGCGCAGGCGGCUGGUCAAGUCCGAUGUGAAAGCUCCCGGCUUAACUGGGAAAUUGCAUCGGAAACUGAUCGGCUGGAAGGUGGGAGAGGGUAGCGGAAUUCCCGGUGUAGUGGUGAAAUGCGUAGAUAUCGGGAGGAACACCAGUGGCGAAAGCGGCUACCUGGCCCAUUCUUGACGCUGAGGCGCGAAAGCUAGGGGAGCAAACGGG